UUUAAUUCGAAGCAACGCGCAGAACCUUACCAACCCUUGACAUCGCCUGACCGGCCUGGAGACAGGUCUUUCCCGCAAGGGACAGGUGGACAGGUGCUGCAUGGCUGUCGUCAGCUCGUGUCGUGAGAUGUUCGGUUAAGUCCGGCAACGAGCGCAACCCACACCCUUGGUUGCCAGCACGUCGUGGUGGGCACUUUAGGGGAACUGCCGGUGAUAAGCCGGAGGAAGGUGUGGAUGACGUCAAGUCCUCAUGGCCCUUACGGGUUGGGCUACACACGUGCUACAAUGGCGGUGACAGUGGGACGCGAAGGAGCGAUCUGGAGCAAAUCCCCAAAAACCGUCUCAGUUCAGAUUGCACUCUGCAACUCGAGUGCAUGAAGGCGGAAUCGCUAGUAAUCGUGGAUCAGCAUGCCA
RNAcentral lists this ribosomal RNA (414 nucleotides) under uncultured bacterium. Its description in RNAcentral is "bacterial SSU rRNA". It matches the Rfam family "Bacterial small subunit ribosomal RNA", at positions 945 to 1359 of the family's 1533-position model. The record is from RNAcentral.